Molecule: ribosomal RNA, 448 nt
Filed under: uncultured bacterium
Lineage: Bacteria
Description: bacterial SSU rRNA
Rfam family: Bacterial small subunit ribosomal RNA
Source: RNAcentral
CAGGGAAUCUUGCACAAUGGGCGAAAGCCUGAUGCAGCGACGCCGCGUGGGGGAUGAAGGCCUUAGGGUCGUAAACCCCUUUCAGCAGGGACGAAAAUGACGGUACCUGCAGAAGAAGCCCCGGCCAACUACGUGCCAGCAGCCGCGGUAAGACGUAGGGGGCGAGCGUUGUCCGGAUUUAUUGGGCGUAAAGAGCUCGUAGGCGGUUGCGUAAGUCGGAUGUGAAAACUCAGGGCUCAACCCUGAGACGCCAUCCGAUACUGCGCUGACUUGAAUCCAGUAGGGGAGUGUGGAAUUCCUCGUGUAGCGGUGAAAUGCGCAGAUAUCAGGAGGAACACCCAUGGCGAAGGCAGCACUCUGGGCUGGUAUUGACGCUGAGGAGCGAAAGCAUGGGUAGCGAACAGGAUUAGAUACCCCUGUAGUCCCUGAGCGGGCUGGCAAGGCGCAU